UAUCCUGUCUGAAUAUGGGGGGACCAUCCUCCAAGGCUAAAUACUCCUGACUGACCGAUAGUGAACCAGUACCGUGAGGGAAAGGCGAAAAGAACCCCGGCGAGGGGAGUGAAAAAGAACCUGAAACCGUGUACGUACAAGCAGUGGGAGCCCCACCACUAAGCCAGUGGUGAACUCCACAUACGCAUCCUUUGCUGAGGAUACGGUUAACGGAGCGAAAGCGACGUUCAACCGCAAAAGAAGCAGAGGGGGCUUAGUGGUGGGGUGACUGCGUACCUUUUGUAUAAUGGGUCAGCGACUUAUAUUCUGUAGCAAGGUUAACCGAAUAGGGGAGCCGGAGGGAAACCGAGUCUUAACCGGGCGUUAAGUUGCAGGGUAUAGACCCGAAACCCGGUGAUCUAGCCAUGGGCAGGUUGAAGGUUGGGUAACACUAACUGGAGGACCGAACCGACUAAUGUUGAAAAAUUAGCGGAUGACCUGUGGCUGGGGGUGAAAGGCCAAUCAAACCGGGAGAUAGCUGGUUCUCCCCGAAAGCUAUUUAGGUAGCGCCUCGUGAACUCAUCUCCGGGGGUAGAGCACUGUUUCGGCUAGGGGGCCAUCCCGGCUUACCAACCCGAUGCAAACUGCGAAUACCGGAGAAUGUUAUCACGGGAGACACACGGCGGGUGCUAACGUCCGUCGUGAAGAGGGAAACAACCCAGACCGCCAGCUAAGGUCCCAAAGUCAUGGUUAAGUGGGAAACGAUGUGGGAAGGCCCAGACAGCCAGGAUGUUGGCUUAGAAGCAGCCAUCAUUUAAAGAAAGCGUAAUAGCUCACUGGUCGAGUCGGCCUGCGCGGAAGAUGUAACGGGGCUAAACCAUGCACCGAAGCUGCGGCAGCGACACUCAGGUGUUGUUGGGUAGGGGAGCGUUCUGUAAGCCUGCGAAGGUGGCCUGUGAGGGUUGCUGGAGGUAUCAGAAGUGCGAAUGCUGACAUAAGUAACGAUAAAGCGGGUGAAAAGCCCGCUCGCCGGAAGACCAAGGGUUCCUGUCCAACGUUAAUCGGGGCAGGGUGAGUCGACCCCUAAGGCGAGGCCGAAAGGCGUAGUCGAUGGGAAACGGGUUAAUAUUCCCGUACUUGGUGUUACUGCGAAGGGGGGACGGAGAAGGCUAUGUUGGCCGGGCGACGGUU
This 1170-nucleotide ribosomal RNA is filed under the name Salmonella enterica. RNAcentral describes it as "partial 23S ribosomal RNA". It matches the Rfam family "Bacterial large subunit ribosomal RNA", at positions 430 to 1503 of the family's 2925-position model. The record is from RNAcentral. Lineage: Bacteria; Pseudomonadati; Pseudomonadota; Gammaproteobacteria; Enterobacterales; Enterobacteriaceae.